AACGCACAUUGCACCCUCUGGUAUUCCGGGGGGUAUGCCUGUUCGAGCGUCAUUUCAACCCUCAAGCUCAGCUUGGUAUUGGGUGUCACCAGACAAUGGUGCACCUCAAAAUUAGUGGCGGUGCCAUCUGGCUUCAAGCGUAGUAAUUCUUUCGCUUUGGAGGUUUGGAUGUGUGCUUGCCAUCAACCCCUAAUUUAUCAAAGGUUGACCUCGGAUCAGGUAGGGAUACCCGCUGAACUUAA
This 242-nucleotide unclassified non-coding RNA is filed under the name uncultured Ascomycota. RNAcentral describes it as "sequence contains ITS2". Lineage: Eukaryota; Fungi; Ascomycota. The record is from RNAcentral. RNAcentral also lists the same sequence under 1 other name.